UAGCUAUUGCUAACAUCAAAACGCCGAUCAUCAAAUUAGUUAUCUCUCUAAGCUAAAAAAAAACAUGAGAAACCCUACGAAGAAAGACAACGUUGGAACCAAGACGACGCCGUGUUGCAGCAAAGUAGGGUUGAAAAGAGGGCCAUGGACGCCGGAAGAAGACGAGUUAUUAUCUAAUUACAUCAACAAAGAAGGCGAAGGACGGUGGCGGACUUUACCUAAACGGGCUGGUCUUCUCCGAUGCGGAAAAAGUUGUCGUCUAAGAUGGAUGAAUUAUCUCCGACCUUCUGUUAAACGUGGCCAGAUUGCUCCCGAUGAAGAAGAUCUCAUCCUCCGCCUUCACCGCCUUUUAGGCAAUCGGUAACUUUUUCCUCUCUUUUUUUUCAAUGAAUUUCAUUUUAGGGUUUUGGAUUAGAUUUCUGGAUAUCUCAAGAUAAACUGUCUAACUUAAUUUGACUUCGAAUUUAGUUAGAUUCAAUGCAGAAACCUCGAAUCUUGUACAAAAAAGUUGUAGGUCUAGGGUUUCAGUGUUUUAGGGUUCUUAAUGGAUUCAUUUUGUAAUCAUUUUUUGCAUACGGUUUCUAUAUAUAUAUACAUGUGUGUGUGUGUGUAUGCAACAUGAAUGAAUGAAUUUGCUGGGUUUUUUUUAUGUAGGUGGUCACUAAUAGCUGGAAGAAUACCAGGGCGUACAGAUAACGAAAUAAAGAACUACUGGAACACUCACCUGAGUAAGAAAUUGAUUAGUCAAGGGAUCGAUCCUCGAACGCACAAGCCUUUAAACCCUCAACAACUCUCACCAUCACCCCCAACACUCAAACCUUCACCUUCUUCAUCAUCAUCCAUGGCGAAACCAAACAAUCCUCCUUCCCCUCUUCCUGUUCAUGUCGUCAACGCUAACAAGCAAAAUGAUUAUUAUGAUGGGAGCAAUGAAGAUCAUCAAGGGAUGAUCAUGAACAAUGACCAUUAUCAGCAACAACAAGAUCAUGAGGAUGAUGUGUUCUCUUCUUUUCUGAAUUCAUUGAUAAAUGAAGAUGAUGAUGCAUUGGUUUCGAAUUUGGGACUCUCACAAGGAUGGGAAUCUACUCCCUUCGAUCAACCAAAAUGACCCAAUAGAGGGUUUGACGAUGAAUGUUAUUUAUAUAGUUUUUUUCAAAGUGUGUUGAUUGUAUGUUUUAAUCAUGUUGUUGCCAAACUUAAUUCAUCAAACCUAAUGGUUUUUUUUAUGUUGUGUUUGAAAGAAACAUAUGAAUGUCUUGUUUUAAUCAAAGACAGAUAUAUUUGUGGAACACUACUUUGAUAUAUAAACUUGUGUUUGGAUGCAUUUUCUUAAUCAAAUUUGAGUUUAUAUUUAAUGUACUGAUAGUGUAUAAUUCAAUUAAAUAUCAAAUAAUGAUAAUGCCAUUGAAAAUGAAGUCGAUUGAAUUUUCUUUUAAAUUUUUUUUAAAGAACUGUCUAUCAUCUAAUCGUAUAAAAAUACACUAUUAACACAUUGAAGUAUAAACUUUUAAAAAACCAUUACAUACUUAUUUAGUAAUGGAUUUGAAAUUCAAGGAGGAAUUCAUGAACUUGCGAAAUUUUUAUUUUUUAUUUUAUAAUUUUUAAAUAUAUAGUUAUUCAUAAUAUAUGAAUUUCACCCAAAUGCUAAUUUGAUCAAAUCCCUUUCAUUUGCUAACCUUAACUCUAAUACAUAUUUUUAGACAUUUUGUUAUUUAGAUUUUAGGGAUUAAUGGCUGUUUUACUUAGAUUAUGAAGAGCUUUUCAAGUAUUAGAAUUAAAAAAAAAAAGCCAUUUUACACUCAAAUAUUUGAAAUAAUUAAGUAUUUUAACAAUAAAUUAAAUUUAUUAAAAUGACAUCACAUAAUUUAUUGACAGUGUAUAAAUUUAUACAUUAUCUAUACAUUAAAUAUGUAUUUUUUGGACUAAAUUUAUAUAUAUAGUGAGAGUUGAUCUUUUAAUAUAUAUUUUAACUUUCCCUUCCAUAAUUGAAACCCUAAACCUUAAUUUUUUAAAAUAAUUAAAUUAUUAUCAUAUAGUUUCUCUCUUACAACACUUAAAUCAAUCCAAAUCCAAAUUUUCUAACACAUUGUUGAGUAACAAUGAAAACAAAGACAGCAAGCAAAGGCCAAAGGACUAAAUUAAAAACAGCAAGCAAAGCAAAAGGAUUGAUAAAUAAAGGUAAAUAUGAGUAAAUUACUUCAAAAAAUAAACCCUAAUUGUAGGUCUACUUUACUCUCAAAAUUAAACUACCAGUCCUUUUAAUUGGUAGCUGGUUCAUUUUGUGCUACCUAAUUUUUCAUAGCUUCUACGUACCCGUUCUUCCAUGCAAAAAUAGAUUUUUAAAAUCGCCUAACGGUCAACAAUAUAUCUACGUAAAAUAAAGUUUUUUUUAGAAAUAAUAACUAGUAAUUAAAUUAAAGUAUAAUUUAUCAAUUGAGUCUUAACUUGACUGGCAUAGGCAUUAUUGGUAACGCAAGAGAAUUAUUUACUUUCUAUUUAUGAGUUGGAUGGGGCUAUAGAUAGUUCUAACCAUUGCGCCAAAAAGAGCUGAUAUGAUCAUAUUGUUCAAAAAAAAUUCUAGUGUAAUUUUUUAGAUUAAUAAUGAUUUCAUAACAAAUCAACUGGGCACCAACUCGGUUAGGGAAAUUUUAUUUUACUCACAAUUUAGUUUUUUUUUAUUUCACAUGUUAUUAUUAAUUAGUUUCAAACCGUAAGUUUCAUUAUUUAUUUUAUGAUAUUUUUAAACUAACAAUUGCGUUCUAAGUACAUAAGUCUCAUAGACAUACACAUGUGAUAAAAUUUCUAAUGUAUAUAUAUUUUUUCUCAACAAUUUCUAGUAUAUAUAUAUAAUUGUGUCGGAUGUAUUUUCAUGCAUUAAUGAUUAUUUCUCAAAAUUAUGGAUAUGAAAUUCACGAAGGAGUUUAUAAAUUCGACAAAUUUAUCCUUUUUUAAAUAUAUAAUUAUUCAUAAUGUCUGCAUUUUAUUCUUACAAUUUAUUUAUAAAUGAAAUCUAAAUCUAGAAUUUCAAAUUCAUGUUCCCAAAUACAACAUGAGUUAAUUGAUGGAAACCCUUUCAUUUGUUAAUCUUAGCUAAUACAUAUAUUUAGGCAUUUUGUUAACUAGUAAUUAUAUAUACAUUUGAAGAACAUGUGAAGGCAAUGGAUUUUUGGGGAUUAAUGGUUGUUUUGCUUAGUUUAUGAAGAGUUUUUCAAGUAUUAAAAGUAAGCCACUUUUAACACUAUAUCAUUUUUUUUUGGUGAAUGAUAAGAGAGAAGUAAAACUCUAACAACAACGCGACUAGCACGACUCAAAUCCAUACCAUACCUGCGGCAAUGAACACCCCAACCAAAUGAAAGUAAUAUAAUAAGCAUGUUUAAUGAAAUUUUGUUUUGUAAUAUAUAUUUUAACUUUCCUUCAAUAAUUCAUAAAAGUAUAAAGAGGAGAAUUAUUGUUCUUUUUCCAUUUUUAUGUUAAAAUUUAUGAUUCGGUUUAGUAAAGUUGAGUCUUUAAAAAGGUUAAAAAAAAUUAAAUUAUUAUCCUAUAGUUUAUCUACAUUAAGAUAAACCUUAAAUUCUAACCUAAAUGGACCGAUCGAAUAGGUUAGACCUGCGAACCAGUUGUCUGAUCAGUUCGACUUCUUCUAAUUCUAAAAACCUUGCAAAUUACAUAAUUACUUUAAAAUGGAAAAUUUUUCAUUUAAGCCUUUUGUAAUUUAUAAAAUUUUAAAUAGGAAUGGUAAAAUUGUACUUUGCCCCCUCAAAAAUGAUAAAGAUAUAGGCUAUUAAAAUAUUAAAAUAACAAAAUUAUAUUUUUACUAUCAUAAAAAAUAUAUAAUUUAAUUUCGCCCCAAAAUUUUUUUUUUUUGACUUUACACAUGCCCCUUAAGUCGUAUUUUGAAUCCGCCACUAAUUUAAAUAAAGGUAAAUAUUUUUUAAUUACUUGAAAAAUAAAAAUGAAAAUCUUAAUUUUAGGUCUACUUUAGGCUCAAAAUUAAACUACCAGUCUUUCCAAUUGGUAGCUGGCUUCAUCUUGUGCUUACCUAAAUUUUUUGUAGUUUCUACGUACCACCUGUUCUUCCAUGCAAAACACAAUUUUCUGAACUGCCUAACGGUCAACCGUUUUAUCUACGUAAAAUAAAGUUUUUCUAUUUUAGAAAUAUAUUAUUAGUAAUUAAAUUAGAGUAGAAUUUUUAGGUAAAUAAUAAUGUUACUUAUGUUAAUAGGUAAUGGCAUAUUGUUGGUUAAGGGCAGAGAUACCGAGUCUUUAAACACUUAAAUUUGAGUUUUAUUAUGCAUAAUUGUAAUGUGUGGAUUCAAGAAGAGGGACCAAAAUUUAAUUACAAACUUUUUAGAAGUCGAAAUCAUAUAUUAAUUUAUAGUUUUAUUAUUUUAAAGGUGACUAAACAAGCAAUUUUUCAUUUGGGGCUCCCUUAAAUUCACCGCUGAGUGGAUCUCAAGCCGUCACGCAUGGGUUUUUUUUCUCGAUUUUCUUCAUCUAUUGUGUUUUAUACUUGUUUGAUUCUAUGUUAUAAUUGUUCGUAUAAAUAUUUAUACUUAUAGUAUACUUGUGAAUGUACCAUAUUUUAAAGCCAAAUACAAGCUAAGUUGUUGAAAUAGGUAUUAUAGGUAAUUGUUCAUAAACAACAUAAUAAAUUUGAUGAAUUAAUUUGUUGAUAGGAUAGGUAUAUAUACCAUUUAACCUUAUGAAAUCAUGAUUAUAGUACAUUUUUAAUGUAUUAUUUUAAUGUUAAUUAGGACCAUAAAUGAACUGACUUAAAUAAAUUUAUAGUAAAAAAUUUAAAAUAAUAUUUGCAUUCGUUUAUUUAAACUUUUGUGUGUUUAUAUUGAUUCGUUUAAGUUAAAUGAGCCUAUUCCUAAAUAUUAAACAAACAGGUUCUUGAACAUAUAACUAAGCAUAUUCACAAACAAUAUUCAUGAAUAAUAAGAUAUAAAUAAACUUAUUAUUCGUUUAAUAAAUGAGCCUCAAAAUCUUAUUCGUUUUUAUUUAUUUAAGAUAAGCUAAUAAAAUCCAAACUAGUUUUGUCUAUUUACUAUUAUAGGGAAUUGAGUUAGGAGGCAAUUUUAGGUUGACUAUUCAAUAUUUUCAUUAUGAGAUAGAGAUUUUUAAAUUCUUCAAUCUUCAUAGAAUAAAAAUAAAUAAAAUUUAUUUUUUAAUAAAGAAUAUAAUAUAAAACAAUUUUAUUGUCAGAAGGGUUCUUUUAUUAAUAAAAUAAAAAAAAAUUAAUAUUUAAAGAUUAUUUAAAAAAUUAUUUUCUUUGCACUUUAACUUAUGAAUUUUUCAAUUUUCCAAAACAUUGAUGAAUAUAAUGAAGAAUUUUUUUAAUUUUUUUUACAUAUUUGUAUGUUAAUUUUAUUUUGAAAAAUAUUUUUUAUUUUCUCAUAUCAAACACAUAAUAUUGUUUAAAUUUAAAUUAUUAAUUUAUUUCAAUUAAAAUAUUGUACUUGGUAUUUAUAUUACACAUGGGAAACUUUCCACGCUAUGAGAGGGUUGGUCAACACACGCAAAAAAGUAUUUACAUAACUAGGGCCGAAAUUAGAAUAUUUUUGUGGGAACGGAAUUAAGUUGUAUAUUUUUAUUACAGUAAAAAUAUAUUUUUAUUAUUUUAAUAGCCUAUAUUUUUAUAAUUUUUAAAAGAUUAAAUUAAUUUUUUAUCAUUUUAGGGGUCAAAGUGCAAUUUUAUCAUUACUAAUUUAAAAUUUUAUAAAUUAUAAAAGGGAAAAUUUUCAUUUUAAACGGGUCAAGCUAUCUACAAAAGUUCAAAAUGUCUGAUAUUUGAAAAUGUUUGGACAAAAAUAUUAAGCCAAAAAAAAUAGACUUGAACAAAAAUUAAAUGUUUAAAGUAUGAGUCGAGCCCAGGUUCCAACAUUCAAGGCCUAAGCUUAACCUAUUUCGAUCUAUUUUACUUAUGUAAUAUAAUGUAUCUAACACUACCCAAACAUUAAAAAAAAUUGUUAUCUAUAUGUUUAAAUUUUUAAUACAAGCUUAUAAAAAAAAUUAAAAAUAACACAAGCAUGCCUAAAAUGAGCUUGGGUUAGUCAUUUACAAACAUGGACGAACUUGAACAAGUAUAAAGUGUUUUAAUGUCAUACAUAGGUCUAGUCCAAAUUCGAUUCGGCUCGACCAUAAACACCUCUAAGUCACGGGAGUAAAAUUAUUUUCUAAAAUUAUAUUUAAAAUGACAUUCAUUAUGAUUAAAAUAAUAUAAUAAAUUCGAAUUCAAAUAAUUUUAACACUAACAAUAAAAACCAUACGUGAAAGUAUAAAUUAAAACAUACACAAUUUCAUAAAAUGUUUAUAAAUUACAAUAUUACAAAUUAAUUUCUACUAUAUAAUGAGUAAAUAAUCAUCAAUUUCAUACUUUUAAUCUUAUUAUAUAAUGUAAAAAUAUAUAUAAUAAAUCUCCCACGAAGAAAAUCGAAAUUAGUGUAACAAUAAUAAUUACUUUUAAUUAAUAUCUCAAAUUAAUGUAUUUUUUUAUAAUUAUUUUGAUCUUUUUUUUCAACAUUUUGAAGUUCUUUUACAUUUAUUUGUGCCAAGAAAAAACAAAGUCAAAAUUCACCAUUUUUCAACAAAAUCAUCAACCACAAUGUUAUGAACAAACAAAUAUAUAUAUAAAUGAAAAAAAAAUAAAGAACAAGACUAACCUGGAAAAAAAAACCUUGUUUAGCGGUUUGAUCCGGCUCGUUUUUCAAAUUUAAUUGUGUUCCAAUAUGAUUAUCGAACAUCGAAAACGGUUUCCGAACUGAAUGCAUUGACAUGUAUUUUUGAAAAAUAAAAAAUAUUAUGAACUUAAAAAUAUAAAGAAAAAAAGAGAGUACAUAAGAAAGGAAGAAGAACUUUUUGGGGAGUGUUUAAUGUAUGAGCAAAAUAAUAGUAAUGAUGAUAAUAGAAAGGGUUUUAAGGGUGCAAUAACCUGAAACUUAAGGACACGUGUAGGUUAU
RNAcentral lists this long non-coding RNA (6959 nucleotides) under Gossypium barbadense (sea-island cotton). RNAcentral's name for it is "long non-coding RNA (GBAR_LNC021305)". Lineage: Eukaryota; Viridiplantae; Streptophyta; Magnoliopsida; Malvales; Malvaceae. The record is from RNAcentral.